Molecule: ribosomal RNA, 159 nt
Filed under: uncultured bacterium
Lineage: Bacteria
Description: partial 16S ribosomal RNA
Rfam family: Bacterial small subunit ribosomal RNA
Source: RNAcentral
GCAGCAGUGGGGAAUUUUGGACAAUGGGCGAAAGCCUGAUCCAGCAAUGCCGCGUGAGUGAAGAAGGCCUUUGGGUUGUAAAGCUCUUUUAGUGAGGAAGAUAAUGACGGUACUCACAGAAGAAGUCCUGGCUAACUCCGUGCCAGCAGCCGCGGUAAU